This 474-nucleotide ribosomal RNA is filed under the name uncultured Curvibacter sp. Its description in RNAcentral is "bacterial SSU rRNA". It matches the Rfam family "Bacterial small subunit ribosomal RNA", at positions 904 to 1382 of the family's 1533-position model. The record is from RNAcentral. Lineage: Bacteria; Pseudomonadati; Pseudomonadota; Betaproteobacteria; Burkholderiales; Comamonadaceae.
UUAAGGAAUUGACGGGACCGCACAAGCGUGGAUGAUGUGGUUUAAUUCGAUGCAACGCGAAAACCUUACCACCUUUGACAUGUACGGAAUCCUUUAGAGAUAGAGGAGUGCUCGAAAGAGAGCCGUAACACAGGGUGCUGCAUGGCUGUCGUCAGCUCGUGUCGUGAGAUGUUGGGUUAAGUCCCGCAACGAGCGCAACCCUUGUCAUUAGUUGCUACGAAAGGGCACUCUAAUGAGACUGCCGGUGACAAACCGGAGGAAGGUGGGGAUGACGUCAAGUCCUCAUGGCCCUUAUAGGUGGGGCUACACACGUCAUACAAUGGCUGGGUACAAAGGGUUGCCAACCCGCGAGGGGGGAGCCAAUCCCAUAAAGCCAGUCGUAGUCCGGAUCGCAGUCUGCAACUCGACUGCGUGAAGUCGGAAUCGCUAGUAAUCGUGGAUCAGCAUGUCACGGUGAAUACGUUCCCGGGUCUU